Molecule: ribosomal RNA, 2829 nt
Filed under: Phocaeicola vulgatus
Lineage: Bacteria; Pseudomonadati; Bacteroidota; Bacteroidia; Bacteroidales; Bacteroidaceae
Description: bacterial LSU rRNA
Rfam family: Bacterial large subunit ribosomal RNA
Source: RNAcentral
AAAAAAGGGCGCAUGGCGGAUGCCUUGGCUCUCGGAGGCGAUGAAGGACGUGAUAAGCUGCGAUAAGCUUUGGGGAGGUGCAAAUGACCUUUGAUCCAGAGAUUUCCGAAUGGGACAACCCAAUAUCUUGAAGAGGUAUUAUCUUACUAUGUAAGAGGCUAACGCAGGGAACUGAAACAUCUUAGUACCUGCAGGAAAAGAAAAUAAACAAUGAUUCCCCCAGUAGUGGCGAGCGAACGGGGAACAGCCCAAACCAUCCAUGUUACGGCAUGGGUGGGGUUGUAGGACUACGCCGUUGCAUGAAGACAUCAGAGAAGAACUUUCUGGAAAGAAAGACCAUAGAGCAUGACAGUUGCGUAUUCGAAUGUUGUCGAAGCAUAGUAGUAUCCUGAGUAGCGCGGAGCACGAGGAAUUCUGCGUGAAUCUGCCGGGACCAUCCGGUAAGGCUAAAUACUCCCGAGAGACCGAUAGCGAACCAGUACCGUGAGGGAAAGGUGAAAAGCACUUCGAACAGAAGAGUGAAAUAGUUCCUGAAACCGUGCGCCUACAAGCGGUCGGAGCUCGUUAAUGAGUGACGGCGUGCCUUUUGCAUAAUGAACCUACGAGUUGCCUUUGCCGGCAAGGUUAAGUGUGACGACACACGUAUCCGAAGCGAAAGCGAGUCUGAACAGGGCGUAUAGUCGGCAGUGGCAGACGCGAAACCAAGUGAUCUACCCUUGGCCAGGUUGAAGGCUGGGUAACACCAGCUGGAGGACCGCACCAAUAAGCGUUGAAAAGCUUCUGGAUGAGCUGAGGGUAGGGGUGAAAGGCUAAUCAAACUUGGAGAUAGCUCGUACUCCCCGAAAUGCAUUUAGGUGCAGCCUUGCGGGUUACUGAUGUGAGGUAGAGCGACUGAUAAGAUGCGAGGGCUUCACCGCCUAUCAAGUCUUGACAAACUCCGAAUGCGCAUCAGUUCUACCGCAGGAGUGAGGGCAUGGGUGCUAAGGUCCGUGCCCGAGAGGAGAAGAAUCCGGACCACCUGCUAAGGUCCCGAAAUGACAGCUAAGUUAAACUAACGAAGUCUGACUGCUAAGACAGCUAGGAUGUUGGCUUGGAAGCAGCCAUUCAUUUAAAGAGUGCGUAACAGCUCACUAGUCGAGGAGUCGGGCGUGGAUAAUAAUCGGGUAUCAAGUUGUCUACCGAAGCAGUGGGAUCAUUAAUAUGAUCGGUAGGGGAGCAUUCCAGUCAGCGUCGAAGGCGUACCGUGAGGUAUUCUGGAGCGUCUGGAAAAGCAAAUGUAGGUAUAAGUAACGAUAAAGGGGGCGGGAAACCCCCUCGCCGAAAGACUAAGGUUUCCUGAUCAACGCUAAUCGGAUCAGGGUCAGUCGGGUCCUAAGGCUCAGCCGAACGGCGAUGCCGAUGGCAGAAACGGUUAAUAUUCCGUUACUACCUUCAGGAGUGACGUGGAGACGCAGUAGUGACAGUGCCGCCAUCUGACGGAAUAGAUGGUUGAAGGGUGUAGGAGUCGAUCAUGGCAGGCAAAUCCACCAUGAGAUCCGAACCUGACAGUAUGCCGCGUCCUUCGGGACAAGGCAAUAGUGCGCGUAAGCAUGCUGCCGAGAAAAUCCGCUAAACUUAAUCCUGCAGGUACCCGUACCGCAAACGGACACACGUAGUCGGGAUGAAUAUUCUAAGGCGCUUGAGUGAUUCACGGUUAAGGAACUAGGCAAACUGACCCUGUAACUUCGGGAUAAAGGGUCCCUACCCUUUUAUGGGAGGGCGCAGAGAAUCGGUCCAGGCAACUGUUUAACAAAAACACAGGGCUGUGCCAAAUCGAAAGAUCCAGUAUACAGCCUGACACCUGCCCGGUGCUGGAAGGUUAAGAGGAGAUGUCAUCGAUAAGAGAAGCGUUGAAUUGAAGCCCCAGUAAACGGCGGCCGUAACUAUAACGGUCCUAAGGUAGCGAAAUUCCUUGUCGGGUAAGUUCCGACCUGCACGAAUGGUGUAAUGAUCUGGACGCUGUCUCAACCGUGAGCUCAGUGAAAUUGUAGUAUCGGUGAAGAUGCCGAUUACCCGCGAUGGGACGAAAAGACCCCGUGAACCUUUACUAUAGCUUAUCAUUGAAUCUGGGCACGUGAUGUGUAGGAUAGGUCGGAGGCUUUGAAGCAGGUACGCCAGUAUUUGUGGAGCCGCUGUUGAAAUACGACCCUUUAUUUGUUUGGAUUCUAACCCGUGGAACGGGGACAUUGAUUGGUGGGUAGUUUGACUGGGGUGGUCGCCUCCAAAAGCGUAACGGAGGCUUCUAAAGGUGCCCUCCGGCCGAUUGGUAACCGGCCUUAGAGUGUAAUGGCAUAAGGGCGCUUGACUGGGAGACUAACAAGUCGAUCAGGUAGGAAACUAGAGCAUAGUGAUCCGGUGUUUCCGUAUGGAAGGGACAUCGCUCAAAGGAUAAAAGGUACUCCGGGGAUAACAGGCUGAUCCCUCCCAAGAGCUCAUAUCGACGGAGUGGUUUGGCACCUCGAUGUCGGCUCGUCACAUCCUGGGGCUGGAGAAGGUCCCAAGGGUUGGGCUGUUCGCCCAUUAAAGUGGCACGCGAGCUGGGUUCAGAACGUCGUGAGACAGUUCGGUCUCUAUCUAUCGUGGGCGUAUGAAAUUUGCGUGGCUCUGACACUAGUACGAGAGGACCGUGUUGGACAGACCUCUGGUUUGCCGGUUGUGCCGCCAGGUGCAUUGCCGGGUAUCUAAGUCUGGAUCGGAUAAGUGCUGAAAGCAUCUAAGUACGAAGCCGGCCACAAGAUUAGAUUUCUCAGGGUCGUUGUAGACUACGACGUUGAUAGGAUGCAGGUGUAA